Molecule: small RNA, 116 nt
Filed under: Marmota monax (woodchuck)
Lineage: Eukaryota; Metazoa; Chordata; Mammalia; Rodentia; Sciuridae
Source: RNAcentral
GCUGGGUAUGAUGGUGUGUGCAUGUAGUCCCAGCUACGUCGGAAGUGGAAGCAGGAGGAUCACUUGAGCUCAGGAGUUCAAGUCCAGCCUGGGCAUCAUAGUGAGAUCUCCAUCUC